GAGCGGUGACAGGUGUAGCAAUACGUGCUGACGAGCGGCGAACGGGUGAGUAAUGCUUCGGAAUCUGCCCAAUGGUGGGGGAUAACCAGCCGAAAGGUUGGCUAAUACCGCAUACGUCCUACGGGAGAAAGCGGGGGAUCGCAAGACCUCGCGCGGUUGGAUGGACCGAUGUUCGAUUAGCUAGUUGGUAGGGUAAUGGCCUACCAAGGCGACGAUCGAUAGCUGGUCUGAGAGGAUGAUCAGCCACACUGGGACUGAGACACGGCCCAGACUCCUACGGGAGGCAGCAGUGGGGAAUAUUGGACAAUGGGCGCAAGCCUGAUCCAGCAAUGCCGCGUGUGUGAAGAAGGCCUUCGGGUUGUAAAGCACUUUUAUACAGGAGCGAAAUACUACCGGCUAAUACCCGGUGGGGCUGACGGUACCUGAGGAAUAAGCACCGGCUAACUUCGUGCCAGCAGCCGCGGUAAU
Molecule: ribosomal RNA, 468 nt
Filed under: uncultured bacterium
Lineage: Bacteria
Description: bacterial SSU rRNA
Rfam family: Bacterial small subunit ribosomal RNA
Source: RNAcentral